UCAAACUUCCCUCUGGAAUUUCACAAGCCAGGCCUCCAUCUUCUGCACUGCUCUCAACAUUCUUGUCUGCCAGGCUCUCACAGAACAGCUCACUAAGCUCUCAACACUCAAUGGCUUUUCUCUCCCAAAGUUCUGAAGUCCUUCCACAAUCCUUCCAAAACAACACGGUCAGAAUUCACCUGUCUUAGGAGCUAAUAGAAAAGAUGGUGGCUUAAAUGCAAUGCCAAUAACACGUAAAAUAAUUAAUAAACUAAGAAAAGAAGGGGAUUGACUAACUUUCUCAAGAUAUUGACGAAUCAGCAGGCAGCAUCAUACCUCACGAUGAAGGACUAAAGAUGAUUCUCCUAAAACCACAAUCAAAGAAAAGCCUACCAAGAGGUGAGAAGCUUUGCUCCUCUGGGUACUGUCACUAAGUGGAUCUUCUUCAACCCCAGCUGGGUCAAACAAGUACACAUUGCCAUCCUGGAAACAGUGACACACACACACACAACACACACACACACACACACACACACACACACACACACACACACACACACACACACUACCCAUGUGCUCUGUGUAAAUUAGGUUGUCCUUCAGGACUGUUCUGUAUUCUGCUUUCCAUUCCCUAAAAGAAAUAUACUUUCCUUUUGUUUGACUCAG
This 645-nucleotide long non-coding RNA is filed under the name Cricetulus griseus (Chinese hamster). RNAcentral's name for it is "lncRNA (ENSCGRG00015039509.1)". The record is from RNAcentral. Lineage: Eukaryota; Metazoa; Chordata; Mammalia; Rodentia; Cricetidae.